Molecule: long non-coding RNA, 1233 nt
Organism: Apteryx haastii (Great spotted kiwi)
Lineage: Eukaryota; Metazoa; Chordata; Aves; Apterygiformes; Apterygidae
Source: Ensembl
AUGGGUGACACUGUGGUGGGUGUUUACUACAGGCCACCUGAUCAGGAAGAGGAAGUCGAUGAGGCCUUCUACAGACAGCUGGAAGUAGCCUCACGAUCCCAGGCCCUGGUUCUCAUGGGRGACUUCAACCACCCCGAUAUCUGCUGGAAAGACAACACAGCUAGGCACAAACAGUCCAAGGGGUUCCUGCAGAGCAUUGGUGACAACUUCUUGACACAGGUGGUGGAGGAGCCAACAAGGAGAGGUGUGCUGCUGGACCUCGUACUAACAAACAAAGAAGGACUGGUGGAAGAUGUGAAGGUCGGGGGCAGCCUUGGCUGCAGUGACCAUGAGAUGGUGGAGUUGAGGAUCCUGCGAGGAGGCAGCAGGGCACUAAGUAGGAUCACAACCCUGGACUUCAGGAGAGCAAACUUUGGCCUCUUCAGGGACCUACUUGGAGGAAUCCCAUGGGUUCGGGCCCUAGAAGGAAGGGGCGUUCAAGGGAGCUGGGUAAUAUUCAAACAUCACUUCCUCCAGGCUCAAGAGCGGUGCAUCCCUAUGAGUAGGAAGUCAAGCAAAGGAGGUAGGAGACCUGCAUGGAUGAGCAAGGAGCUCCUGGCAAAACUCAACCAGAAGAAGGAAGUAUACCGAAAGUGGAAAGGGGGACAGGCCGCUUGGGAGGAGUAUAGGAACGUUGUCAAAGUAUGCAGGGAUGUGACGAGGAAGGCUAAGGCCCGUUUGGAAUUAAAUCUGGCAAGAGAUGUCAAGGACAGCAAGAAGGGCUUCUUCAAAUACAUCAGUAGCAAGAGGAAGACUAGGGAAAAUGUGGGCCCGCUGCUGAAUGGGGUGGGUGCCCUGGUGACGAAGGAUGCAGAGAAGGCAGAGUUACUGAAUGCCUUCUUUGCUUCAGUCUUUACUGCUCAGGCCAGCCCUCAGGAACCCCAGACCCUGGAGGCAAGAGAGAAAGUCUGCAGAAAGGAAGACUUUCCCUUGGUGGAGGAGGAUUGGGUUAGAGAUCAUUUAAGAAAACUUGACACCCACAGAUGCAUGGGCCCUGACGGGAUGCACCCACGAGUGCUGAGGGAGCUGGCGGACGUUAUUGCUAAGCCACUCUCCAUCAUCUUUGAAAGGUCAUGGAGAACAGGAGAGGUGCCUGAAGACUGGAAGAGAGCCAAUGUCACCCCAGUCUUCAAAAAGGGCAAGAAGGAGGAGCCAGGGAACUACAGGGCAGUCAGCCUGGCCUUGGAAAGGUGA